RNAcentral lists this ribosomal RNA (300 nucleotides) under uncultured Thermovibrio sp. RNAcentral describes it as "bacterial SSU rRNA". It matches the Rfam family "Bacterial small subunit ribosomal RNA", at positions 496 to 795 of the family's 1533-position model. The record is from RNAcentral. Lineage: Bacteria; Pseudomonadati; Aquificota; Aquificia; Desulfurobacteriales; Desulfurobacteriaceae.
GCAACGGUCGUGCGGGGAACGGCGGUCAGAGGGAGGGGGCGAGCGGUGUUCGGGAGUACUGGGCGUAAAGGGGGCGCAGGCGGCCUAUCAAGUCAGGGGGGAAAGCCCAGAGCUGAACGCUGGAAUUGCCUUUGAAACGGGUGGGCUUGAGUACGGGAGAGGUGAGUGGAAUUCGCAGUGUAGAGGUGAAAUUCGUAGAUAUUGGGAAGAACACCGGUGGCGAAGGCGGCUCACUGGCCCGUUACUGACGCUCAGGCGCGACAGCGUGGGGAUCAAACAGGAUUAGAUACCCCUGUAGUC